AAUCAACGCUGGCGGCGUGCCUCAGACAUGCAAGUCGAACGAUUAAGACUCUCUUCGGAGAGUGUAUAAAGUGGCGCACGGGUGAGUAACACGUAGGUAAUGUACCGAAGGGUGGGGAAUAACUUAGGGAAACUUAAGCUAAUACCGCAUAAUGCAGCGGCUCGACAUCGAGACAGUUGUUAAAGGAGCAAACUCCGUCCUUUUGAGCAGCCUGCGGCAGAUUAGCUAGUUGGUAAGGUAAUGGCUUACCAAGGCUACGAUCUGUAACCGACCUGAGAGGGUGGUCGGUCACACUGACACUGAAUAACGGGUCAGACUCCUACGGGAGGCAGCAGUC
This 337-nucleotide ribosomal RNA is filed under the name uncultured bacterium. Its description in RNAcentral is "bacterial SSU rRNA". It matches the Rfam family "Bacterial small subunit ribosomal RNA", at positions 32 to 356 of the family's 1533-position model. The record is from RNAcentral.